UCCUUCUCCAUCUUUUUUUCUUGCACAACAAGUUAAAUGUCUAGCCGCAUAUCAAUUUUCUAAGUUUAUAAAUGAGUAAGCCCAUCAAGAUCAAAUCCUAUUGACCCAUAGAUCAGAAAAUAACCCACACUUCAAUGCUUACAAUUUAAGCUGGAAGGCUCAACCAAAUUUUUUGUGUAAUCCACACCCAAUAGUUACCCCGACAAUGCAAGAAUCUAUGUUUGUAGAAGCACCCUAUUACAAUGUGCCCUAUUCACCAUAUCAAUCUUCUCCAAGUAUCUAUAGUCCAUCAUUUGAAGAGAAGGUUUAGCAAGCAUUAGACAGGCUAGAACUCAUCCAUCAGACCCUUCACUCUUCUAUGCAAUCCUUAGUUGAACUAGAAAUUCAAGUUGAUCAAUCAGUAAUCACAAUCAGUGGGGA
RNAcentral lists this long non-coding RNA (420 nucleotides) under Elaeis guineensis (African oil palm). RNAcentral's name for it is "long non-coding RNA (EGUI_LNC018429)". The record is from RNAcentral. Lineage: Eukaryota; Viridiplantae; Streptophyta; Magnoliopsida; Arecales; Arecaceae.